GACGGGGCCCGCACAAGCGGUGGAGCAUGUGGUUUAAUUCGAAGCAACGCGAAGAACCUUACCAGGUCUUGACAUCCCCUGACAACCCAAGAGAUUGGGCGUUCCCCUUCGGGGGACAGGGUGACAGGUGGUGCAUGGUUGUCGUCAGCUCGUGUCGUGAGAUGUUGGGUUAAGUCCCGCAACGAGCGCAACCCUCGCCUCUAGUUGCCAGCAUUCGGUUGGGCACUCUAGAGGGACUGCCGGCGACAAGUCGGAGGAAGGUGGGGAUGACGUCAAAUCAUCAUGCCCCUUAUGACCUGGGCUACACACGUGCUACAAUGGGCGGUACAAAGGGCUGCGAACCCGCGAGGGGGAGCGAAUCCCAAAAAGCCGCUCUCAGUUCGGAUUGCAGGCUGCAACUCGCCUGCAUGAAGCCGGAAUCGCUAGUAAUCGCGGACCAGCAUGCCGCGGUGAAUACGUUCCCGGGCCUU
Molecule: ribosomal RNA, 470 nt
Filed under: uncultured Geobacillus sp.
Lineage: Bacteria; Bacillati; Bacillota; Bacilli; Caryophanales; Anoxybacillaceae
Description: bacterial SSU rRNA
Rfam family: Bacterial small subunit ribosomal RNA
Source: RNAcentral